Molecule: transfer RNA, 81 nt
Filed under: Jatropha curcas
Lineage: Eukaryota; Viridiplantae; Streptophyta; Magnoliopsida; Malpighiales; Euphorbiaceae
Rfam family: tRNA
About the family: Transfer RNA (tRNA) molecules are approximately 80 nucleotides in length. Their secondary structure includes four short double-helical elements and three loops (D, anti-codon, and T loops).
Source: Rfam by way of RNAcentral
GCGGGGAUAGCUCAGUUGGGAGAGCGUCAGACUGAAGAUCUGAAGAUCUGAAGGUCGCGUGUUCGAUCCACGCUCACCGCA